Oncorhynchus tshawytscha (Chinook salmon) is the source of this 557-nucleotide long non-coding RNA. NCBI's taxonomy places the organism in Eukaryota, Metazoa, Chordata, Actinopteri, Salmoniformes, Salmonidae. The record is from Ensembl.
GAGAGAGAAAAUAUACAUUUAUUCUGUUUUGUUAUUGUUGCCAGUCGUGUCCAUGAGUAUUCAACUAGGCUUGAAAUGAUUUACAUUUCCCUCUCUCUGUAGUCACAAAGCUAGAAGCUGAGAGAGGUGGCCCCUAGUAAAGACUCAACAUCUGUCUGUGGUCAUGAAGCUGAGAGAGGUGGCCCCUAGUAAAGACUCAACAUCUGUCUGUGGUCAUGAAGCUGAGAGAGGUGGCCCCUAGUAAAGACUCAACAUCUGUCUGUGGUCAUGAAGCUGAGAGAGGUGGCCCCUAGUAAAGACUCAACAUCUGUCUGUGGUCAUGAAGCUGAGAGAGGUGGCCCCAAGUAAAGAUUCAACAUAUUUUUGCAAAUGUGCAUACUGUAUAUAUUUGUGUGUACACAUACAGUUGAAGUCGGAAGUUUACAUACAUUUAGGUUGGAGUCAUUAAAACACGUUUUUCAACCACUCCACAAAUUUCUUGUUAAACUAUAGUUUUGGCAUGUCGGUAAGGACAUCUACUUUGUGCAUGACAUAAAUUUUCCAUCAAUUAUUUAUAG